AAGUAUAUGAUGAAAACCUAACUCAGCUCACUCUGAGUGAAAACGAUGCUGAUAACAAUCCUAUCCAACAUUCAUCAAAAUUCUGAUUUACUU
This 93-nucleotide small nucleolar RNA is filed under the name Yamadazyma tenuis ATCC 10573. The record is from RNAcentral. Lineage: Eukaryota; Fungi; Ascomycota; Pichiomycetes; Serinales; Debaryomycetaceae.